GAUGAGCAGAUAAGGGAAUGAGAGCGCUGGGGGAGGAGGAGGGAGGGCAGGAAACACAGCGCACACUGCCAGGUGGGUCACCCUAAGGCUUUCAGGUUGGGAGAAAGAGGAGCUGGAGGCUGGUGGGGCAGAUACCAUGGGGGCCCGGUGUUCCAGGCAGAAGUGCUCAGGAUGGAGGAAAGGAGCCCAGCUACACAAAGACCUCUGCUCCCUUCACCUACAGAAUCGUUAUAAGAAUUGAAUGAGCUGACCCCUGGAAAGUGUGUCAUCAAGUGUGCAGCGCUACUCAAGGCGGAGGGACUAAGCCACUUCCUUCUCUCACUGCUUGACUGAGCCUCCUCCAGCCCCACCCCCUGACGUUUACUGCCUAUGGAGGAAGAGAUUAAGUGAAGCAGGCCCACACAUUCAUGAAGGUGGAACGAAGAUGCGCCAGGAGAUGACAGAGAGGGAAACAGAGGAAGACGGGACCACAGACAUGGGGAGGAAAGGCUGAACGAGGCAAUGUCUUGACUCAUUCUGACUCUUCCCUGUUCCCGAUCUGGGCUCCAAAGUCUCUGCCCACAUUCCCCUUCACUAGGUUACUCAACCCUCCACCAGACUGCUAGGUCAAGGGUGGACAAACACACGAACGGGAUCUGGAUGCCUCUGGGCAGUACUGACUUCCCCUACCAUUCCCACAGCAAGAAAUGGGGGUGAUUCCAUCACCGACUCCCCUACCCUGCAGUGAGACAGCCUGUAGGGAAGUGGGACUCAGACCCCAAGGUCUCUGUUUUUGCUUUGUUCCCUCAAGAUUUCCGUUGCCCCAUGGGAGAGAAACUCACUGUCCCACCUGCCCUCCCUUCCCAUCAGCGUUCAGAUUCUCCCACUGCCCCUCUUCUGAGACUCACCCAGUCUCAUGCCUCCAUCAGCCUCAACUCCCCACCCAUGGCCUGUGGUGAGAAGGUGCUAACAACAGGACCUGCUUUAAUCUUGACCUUUGCAGCCCACCCAGAGAAAAGGGAAUCAUGGCCGAAAAAAGGCUGGAAGAGGAGAGAACUCUGGCACUAUGGGUGGGGCUAGGAGGAGCCCAGGCAACCUUACUGGUGAGGAUCUCAUGGCUCUUCAAGGUGUAUAUAUGAUGACUUUUCUGGGGUUUCUCUCAACACUCAGAAUCCGCCCCAGUGGGAAAGUACAUGCAUACCUGGGAGGCCAGGGGAGGAAAAGGGAGACGGCUCACUCUGCCAGUAAAUGAAGAAAGUGGAAAUGAAUUCAAGGAGCCAGCAGGGUUCCCAGUUUCACCAGAGCCUGAGGCUUGGUAAUAAGGAUGAGAGCAAUGUGCCUUCACUUCCUGGGAUCAGAACAGCACAUGGCCGCACGAAUGGGUAUGCAUGUGCUUCCAUAAUCAUACACUUUCCCAGCUUCUCUCUGCCUGUGGUCUAAUUUCAACUCCUUCAGCUGCUGUAUCCACCCAUAAAAUUAUGAGUGUAAAAGCACUUUGCAAAUGCUGAUACUCUAUGAAGAAGUAAAAAGUAGUGCUGUAAUUAUUAUCAUUAUUAUGUCCAAUGGCUGAGGAUUCUGCUGCCCACCUGUCAGCUAUGUGAGGCCUAAAGAGGGAGGGCUAGACCAUUCCUCAGCGUCUGAGGUUCCCGGCCCUUUUCCCCCUCCAGCUGUCCACAGCCGACUACUAAGCUGGAAGCGUAGGGGAAAGCAGAAAAAAGGUGAUUUACUGCGACACAGAGACACAGACUAAAAGAGACAGCAGGUGUUCUCUUAAAAUUUGAACCAUUUGACUGGGCACAGUGGCUCACACCUGAAAUCUCUGCACCUUGGGAGGCCAAGGCAAGAGGAUCGCUUGGGCCCAAAAGUUAGAGGCUGCAGUGAACUAUGAUCAUGCCAUUGAACUCCAGCCUGGGAGACGGAGACCCCCUCUCUUAAAAAAAAUGAAACAUUUAGCCAGGCGCAGUGGCUCAUGCCUGUAAUCCCAACACUUUGGGAGGCCAAGGCAGGUGGAUCAUGAGGUCAGGAGUUCAACCAGCCUGGCCAAGAUGUUGAAACCCCAUCUCUACUAAAAUACAAAAAUUAGUCGGGUGUGGUGUCAGGCACCUGUAAUUCCGGCUACUCAGAAGGCUGAGGUAAGAGAAUCGCUUGAACCCCAGGGACAGAGGUUGCAGUGAGCAGAGUUCAUGCCACUGCACUCCAGCCUGGGUGACAGAGUGAGACUCCGUCGCAAAAAAAAAAAGAAAGAAAAGAAAAAGAAAAAUUUGCCAGGUGAGGUAGCUCAUGCCUGUAAUCCCAGCACUUUGGGAGGCCAAGGUGGGCGGAUCAUCUGAGGUUGGGAGUCCAAGACCAGCCUGACCAAGAUGGAGAAACCCCGUCUCUACUAAAGGGACAAAAAAAAUAGCUGAGUGCGGUGGCACAUGCUUGUUAACCCAGCUACUUGGGAGGCAGGGGAAUCGCUUGAACCAGGGAGGCAGAAGUUGCAGUGAGCUGAGAUCACGCCAUUUCACUCCAGCCUGGGCAACGAGCAAAACUCCAUCUCAAAAAAAAAAAAAAAAAGAAAGAAAAAUUGAACCAUUGCUCUGAGUUUCUAUUAGGGAGAGUGAUGCGAUGUGGCGAUGGUGUGAUGGGAGAAAGGGAACCGGGGAGGGCAGUGGGGUUCCAAGCUUCCUGCUUCCCCAGUUGACUCCUACCUUGGCCUUUCCGGUCAUGCCCAAGAGGAAGCUGAAGGUCCGUCGCAGGGAGGAGCCUGCCCAGGUACCUGAAUGUCCUUCCAGCUGGCUGCAGCUGCAGAGAGAGAAAGACUUGAGGAGAUGGGGGAAUGCUGGAAAUGAAGAAAAACAUCCUUCCUGAGAGAUGGUAGAUGAAGGUGCCAUGACCAGCAGAGCCAGAAUGGGAAGGAAGAAAGAGGAAGGACUGGGAGAGAAAGUUGCUCUCUGGAUUCGACGGCAGAAAGACAGCGGCGAGUGUGGCCUUGGGGCACCUGGUCUCCACCUUCGAGGAACACCUCUGGGACGGCUCUGUCCAUGGGAGACAUAGGUGGGCCAGUCUGCAUCAGGAAGAAAGAAAAGGGUGAGCAGUGUUCUAGAACUUUGGAACCUUGGAGCUAGAAGCGUGUCACAGUCAGCUGGGCUUGGGAGCAUCUAGCCACCCCUCACUUUACUGAGACACAGAACUGGAGAGUGUGUGGCUCAGGGUCACACUGUGAAUCAGCUGCACAGUCAAGGCUGGAGCUUAGGUUUUCUGGCUCUCAGUUCAGUGUCUUCUCGUACGUAAAGAGACCCUCAUUGUCUCAUCCUUAUUCCAUUUACUGAAGAUCCAUACAGCAGAAAGCCAAGGAAAAAGAAAUGGAUAUUGUUCCUGUCCUCAAGGAUCUCAGUCCAGUGAGUGGGUGAGUGUGUGUGUGUGUGCACAAGCGGAAGGACAAAUCACAAAUGACUCCGUCACCGGCUCGCAUGUGCCAAAUGCCGUAAGAGAAGUUUCAACAAAAGGCUGUGGGCUGUUAACUGAGUGAGCGCAUAAGUCCAGUUGGGAGACAAAAAAGGGAAACAGACCAGGUGUGGUGGCACACCCACAACUUUGGGAGGCUGAGGCGGGGGGAUUGUUUGAGCUCAGGUGUUCCAGACAGCCUGGGCAACAUAGUGAGACCCUGUCUUCACGAAAAAUAAAAAGUUAGCUGGGCGUGGUGGCAUGUGCUUAUAGUCCCAGCUACUUGGGAGGCUGAGGUGGGAGGCUCACUUAAGCCCAGGUGUUCAAGGCUGCAGUGAGCUAUGAUCAUUCCACUGCACUCCAGCCUGGGUGACAGAGCAAGACCUUGUUUGCUUUGGAUUGUUUUUUCUUGUUUUGAGACAAAGGCUUGUUCUGUUGCCCAGGCUGGAGUGCAGUGGUGUGAUCUUGGCUCACUGCAACCUCCGCCUCUCAGAUUCAGGUGAUUCUCCUGUCUCAGCCUCCUGAGUAGCUGGGAUUAUAGGCGUGCACCACCAUGCCCAGCUAAUUUUUGUAUUUUUAGUAGAGACUGGGUUUUGCCAUGUUGGUCAGGCUGAUCUCGAAGUCCUGACCUCAGGAUCCACCCUCCGUGGCCUCCCAAUGUGCUGGGAUUACAGGUGUGAGCCACCGCACCCAGCCUUUUCUUCUUUUUUUGAGAUGGAGUUCCGCUCUUGUUGCCCAAGCUGGAGUACAAUGGCAUGAUCAUGGCUUACUGCAACCUCUGCCUCCCAGGUUCAAGCUGUUCUUUUGCCUCAGCCUCCUGAGUAGCUGGGGUUACAGAUGUAUGCUACCACCCCUGGCUAAUUUUUUGUAUUUUUAGUAGAAAUGGACUUUCACCAUGUUUGCCAGGCUGGUCUUGAACUCCUGACCUCAGGUGAUCCACCUGCUUUGGCCUCCCAAAGUGCUGGGAUUACAGGUGUGAAGACUUGGCUUUAUUUUUGUUUUUAAAGGGAGUAGGAACAGAAGGAAAUACAGGGCCUUUGAGAUGUGCCUGGAGGGGUAAAGUGGUUAGGAUUUUCCCAGGGAAGAGGGAGAGGAUUUUAAGUAGAUAAAAUAGUUGGGGGAAAGGUUCAUGAGUGAUAGCGUUGUGAUUUCUUCCUUUUUUUUUUUGAGACGGAAUUUUGCUCUUAUUGCUCAGGCUGGAGUGCAAUGGCUCCCAAGUUCAAGCAAUUCUCCUGCCUCAGCCUCCCAAGUAGCUGGAACUACAGGCACCUGCCAUCAUGCCCAGCUAAUUUAUAUAUUUUUAGUAGACAUGGGGUUUCUCCCUUACAUAUUGGCCAGGAUGGUCUCGAACUCCUGACCUGUGAUCCGCCUGUCUUCGCCUCCCAAAGUGCUGGGAAUACAGGUGUGAGCCAUUGUGCCUGGCAUGAUUUCUUCUUCCAAGAGUCUGGUCUUAUGGAGAGUGAAAGCCAUUGUGACCUCUCCCCACGUUGCAGAGAGGAGGGCUCCAAGCAUCAGCCUCAGAGCACACAUUUCCUCCACUGUCUCCCCAGUGGGCAUUGCUCUCACUUCCCAGCACUCCUGGUUGGCAUCAGGGCUGCCGCAAUGUGUCUCAGAGUUAAGAACACUCAGAUGCUCUUAAAGUUGAAAAUGAUAAACCCCACUCCAGAAAGAAGUGCCAAGUCCCAGAGUACCAGGGGCAGGAAGGGCAGGAAGGGCAAUAACAUUUACUGCAUACCUCUGUACACUUCACUCCUAGGCCAUGUCUCUCUAGACCUUCUGCUAGAAUGAGUCUCCCAGGCUCCCCUUCUCCUGGGAACACUUCCAGCUACUAAGAUGUCAUGAGUGCCCAGAAGGAUCAGGAAGCUGGGACCCAGACCUUCCCUCUUUCCAGGCUUACUGUGGGGCUGUCAGACUUCCUCCAGGUUGUCUUAACCACCCCGGGAAAGUCCAGGUUAUUGGAAAGUUGUCCCUUCAAUCUACUUUCCUCCCUCAUUGCAAUCUGUCCACUGCCUUCACCCCAGCCAGAGCUGCUGGGAAGAAAGUGCUGUGCCUGGGGUGGCUGUGUGCCUAUUUACCACGGAGACGGGAGGGAGGCAGGUACUCAGUCCUCUGCAGAUGGCAGCUGCUCCCCCGCUGGGAGGGUCUAAGGGAAGAAAGGGAGAAGCCUGGGAGAGUGGCCAGGUCCUGUGCCCAUCCGUGCUCAUCGCGUCUGGGAGCAAUGGACGGGGAAGCCCUCAGCCAGCCGCCAGGAGAGACCCUCUCCCUUCUUGCCUACAAACAGGCCUUGUGCUGGCUACACACAGGAUGAGCAGAUCUACAGGAAGCAGGUCAGAGCUGAGGGCCACGGCAGGGUCCCUCCCAAUCAGUGGCCUCCAAAGCUGAGAUUUGGAGGCAGAGGGAGGUUGACAAAAAUAUUAUGAAAAGCUUGGGUGGAAAAAAGAGUAGGAACUGGAGAUAUACUAGGAAAAGGGGAAUGGGGGCUGGAAAUAGGACGGAAACUGAGAGGCAGUGAGGGGGAGGCAGGGACACCUGGGUGGAUCAUGGGAGGUCUGAAAUUCAGGGACCUCCCAGAAGCAGAAAGUUGGUUUGAACUGUAUGCCCUGUACCCAACCUCUACCUGAUAGCCUUGUUUCAGCCUGUGCCUGCAGGGUUAAUUUUUUUUUUUUUUUUUUGAGAGAGAGGACCUCUCUCCUCUGUCACCCUCAAGCUUCAAGGCUUACAGCAGCCUCCACCUCUCAGGAUCAAACAGUCCUCCCACAUUAGCCUCCUGAAUUGGUAGGACUGCAGUUGCAUGCCACCACAUCCAGCUAAUUUUUUUUUUUUUAUAAAGAUGGGGUUUCACCAUGAUGGCCAGGCUGGUCUUGAACUCCUGACAUCAGGUGAUCCACCCACCUCGGCCUCCCAAAGUGCUAGGAUUACAGGUGUGAGCCACCAUGCCCGGCCUAAAUUUUUUUUUUUGAGACAGAGUUUUGCUCUUUUGCCCAGGCUGGAGUGCAGUGGCAUGAUCUCGGCUCACUGCAACCUCCACUUCCCUGGUUUAAGCAAUUCCCCUGCCUCAGCCUCCCAAGUAGCUGAGAUUACAGGCACACGCCACCACACCUGGCUAAUUUUUUUUUGUAUUUUUAGUAGAGACGAGGUUUCACCAUGUUGACCAGACUGGUCUCGAACUCCUGACCUCAGGCAAUCCACCUGCCUUGGCCUCCCAAAGUGCUGGGAUUAUAGGCAUGAGCCACUGCGCCUGGCCUCCAGCUAAUUUUUAAAUGUUUGUUUUGUUUUGAUUUAGGUGGAGUUUUGCUCUUAUUGCCCAGGCUGGAGUGCAAUGGUGUGAUCUCAGCUCACUGCAACCUCCACCUCCCGGGUUCAAGAAAUUCUCCAGCCUCAGCCUCCAGAGUAGCCGGGACUACAGGCAUGCACUACCACACCCGGCUAAUAUUUGUAUUUUUAGUAGAGACAGGGUUUCACUAUGUUGGCCAGGCUAGACUUGAACUCCUGACUUCAGGUGAUUCAUCCACCUCAGCCUCCCAAAGUGCUGGGAUUACAGGUGUGAGCCACUGCACCUGUUUUUAAAUUUUUUACAGAGAUGAAGUCUCACUAUGUUGCCAAGGCUGGUCUCAAACUCCUGGGCCCAAGCGAUCCUCCUGCCUCGGCCUCCCAAAGUGCUAGAAUUAUAGCUGUGAGCCACUACGAAUGGCCUGCAGUGUUUAAUUUGGCAAGAUGAAGGAAAUGCAGUGAACUGGAGACCUCUAGUUUUCUUCAGUCCCUGCAGGUAUUCCUGCUGGAGAUAGGGUCCUGUCACCCCGGCCCCACUGACAGACACCUCAGCUCUUAUGAUCUUUGUGUAACUCAUCCUUCUUCCUCCCACUCAGACCAACUGGAGUCCGACCUCUUCUCAAGAUCUACCCUUUUUCCAGCAUUGCUGUCAUUUCAUUCAUGGUCUCUGCCCUCUGUGAAAAUGAAAUCUGUCUGGCAGUUUCUCCCUUACAUCCUCAUCUCCACUCACCCUGCCUCAUGCCAUGAUGCCAAUAUUUUUUUUUUUGAGACGUAGUUUCCCUCUCAUUACCCAGGCUGGAGUGCAAUGGCUCGAUCUUGGCUCACCCCAACCUCCGCCUCCUGGGUUCAGGCAAUUCUCCUGCCUCAGCCUCCUGAGUAGCUGGGAUUACAGGCACACACCACCAUGCCCAGCUAAUUUUUUAUAUUUUUAGUAGAGACGGGGUUUCACCUUGUUGACCAGGAUGGUCUCGAUCUCUUGACCUCGUGAUCCACCUGCCUCGGCCUCCCAAAGUGCUAGGAUUACAGGCUUGAGCCACCGUGCCCGGCCCAGUUUUUUUUUUUUUUUUUUUUUUUUGAGACGGAGUUUUGCUCUUGUUACCCAGGCUGGAGUGCAAUGGCGUGAUCUCGGCUCACCGCAACCUCCGCCUCCUGGGUUCAGGCAAUUCUCCUGCCUCAGCCUCCUGGGUAGCUGGGAUUACAGGCACUUGCCACCAUGCCCAGCUAAUUUUUUUGUAUUUUUAGUAGAGACGGGGUUUCACCAUGUUGACCAGGAUGGUCUUGAUCUCUCGCCCUCAUGAUCCACCCGCCUUGGCCUCCCAAAGUGCUGGGAUUACAGGCGUGAGCCACUGUGCCCGGCUGAUGCCAAUACUUUUAUUCUGUCCCUCAGAGGGUUGAGGUUUAGUAAGGGUUCCUCAACUCCCUCCUAGCAGUAUUCCCUCCUCCACCAUCUGAAAUUCAGACUGGGACUCCAGUCAUCCUGUUGCUUUUCCUUCCAUUAGCUUAACUCUCCCAGCCCCCCUCCCAUUUUCCCUCAGCCUUCUGAGCUCAGGAAAUGGUGCAUGGGAAAGGCCAGGGCUGGGUCUCACACAAUGGUUUUAUUUAGCUCUAGAAUGAGAUCACAUUAUGUCAUAUCACUGCUUCCGCUGAGCAGAGAGAUAGGAGAUUCUGAAAUAGGUCUGGGAUCAGAUGCUUGAGACGGGGAGGUGGGGGGUGGGAAAGCAGAAAGGGGCUCUAAGAAGUCAUUUCACUUGUCAUCCUGCCUCUGGAUGGAAUCGUCUUCCCACCACUGCAAACCAUCAGCGUGUCCUGUCCCUUCCUCCGAGUGUGUAACCUUCACAGAUUGCACUAGUCAUCAAAGAUUUCUUAGGCAUUCUACUGGAAGCUGGAUGGGAAUAUGUAUUUUAAUAGAGAGAGAGACAUCUGUUACUCAAAACUCUGAGACUGUAAUUUCUUUAGGGCGCUACAGCUUUGAAGUCGGUCAGAUUUGCUAGCUCUGCCCCUUUCUUUUUUUUCUUCAAGACAGUCUCACUCUGUAACUGAGGCUGGAGUGCAGUGGCACGAUCCUGUCUCAUUGCAACCUCCACCUCCUAGGUUAAAGCAAUUCUCCUGCCUCAGCCUCCCAAGUAGCUGGGAUUACAGGCGCCUGCCAUCACGCCUGGCUAAUUUUUGUAUUUCUACUAGAGACGGGUUUUUGCCAUGUUGGCAGGGCUGGUCUAGAACUCCUGAACUCAGGUGAUUCACCCACCUCAACCUCCCAAAGUGCUAGGAUUACAGGCAUGAGCCACUGCACCCAGCCUAGCUAUGCCACUUUUUUUUUUUUUUUUUUUUAAGAAAGGCAGACUGCCACAUGCAGCACUUCAUUUGGAUGUGUCUGGAGCUAUGCCACACAACCUUGGUAACUUAUCUUUUUUUCUUUUUUGGACCCAGGGUCUGGCUCUGUGGCCAAACCUGGAGUGCAGUCUUGAUCAGAGCUCACUGUAGUCUCAAACUCCUGGGUCAAGCGAUCCUCCUGCUUUAGCAUCCAGUAGAUGGGACUACAUGUAUGUACCACCACGCUCUAAGUUCAAAAAAAUUUUGGGGCUAGGCACAGUGGCUCAUGCCAGUAAUCGAGCACUUUGGGAGGCUCAGAUGGGUAAAUCAUGAGGUCAGGAUUUUGAGACCAGCCUGGCCAAUAUGGUGAAACUCUGUCUCUACUAAAAAUACAGAAAUUAGCCAGGCAUAGUGGUGGGUGCCUGUAAUCCCAGCUACUAGGGAAGCUGAGGCAGGAGAAUAGCUUGAACCUGAGAGGCAGAGGCUGCAGUGAGCCAAAACUGUGCUACUGCACUCCAGCCUGGGCAACAAGAGUGAAACUCCAUCUAAAAAAAAAAAUUUUUUUAGAGAUGGGGGUCUCACUGUGUUGCCCAGGUUGGUCUUGAACUCCUGGCCUCAAGUGAUCCUUUUGUCUUGGCCUCCCUAAGUGUUGGGAUUAGAGAUAUGAGCCCCUGAGCCCAGCCCGGCCAGUGUUUUUGACCCUCAGACUCAUGUAUAAAAUGAGAAUGAGAGGUUGGGUGCAGUGGCUCAUGCCUAUAAUCCCAGCAGUUUGGGAGGGUGAGGUGAGUGGAUCACCUGAGGUCAGAAGUUUGAGACCAGUCUGACCAAUGUGGUGAAACCCUGUCUUUACUAAAAAGACAAAAUUAGCCAGGCACGGUGGCUCACGCCUGUAAUCCUAGCACAUUGACCAGGCUGGUCUCAAACUCCCGGGCUCAACUGAUCUGCCUGUCUUGGCCUCCCACAGUGCUAGGAUUACAGGCAUAAACCACCUCGCCUGGCCAAAACUUACUUUGUAAGGAUGUUGAAAGACUUGAUGAUAAUGUAUGCAAUGCAACGAGUGCCCCUUACAUCUGUCUUUGGUACAUAUUAGGUGCUCAAUAAAUACUAUUAUUAUUUUAUUAUUGUUACUUAGGGGUCAUAGAGACAACAGGGCAUGUUGAAACAGAGAGCUAGAAAGAAAGAGGCUCAGCCGGGCUUGGUGGCUCAUGCCUGUAAUUCCAGCACUUUGGGAGGCUGAGGCGGGUGGAUCACGAGGUCAAGAGAUUGAGACCAUCCUGGUCAACAUGGUGAAACCCCGUCUCUACUAAAAAUACAAAACUUAGCUGGGUGCGGUGGCGCACACCUAUAAUCCCAGCUACUUGGGAGGCCGAGGCAGGAGAAUCACUUGAACCCAGGAUGUGGAGGUUGCAGUGAGCCAAGAUGGCACCACUGCACUCCAGGCUGGCGAUAGAGUGAGACACUGUCUGAAAAAAGAAAAAAAAAGAAGGAAAGAAAAAGAAAAAAGGAGACCCAAGAUAGAAGCAGAAAUAGGCAUUAUAUGAUGGUGACCCACCGUUUUCUCUUAGAGAGAGAAUAACCCAUGGGUGACACUAACGUAGCUAUGAUGGGAACAGUUCUCAUAAACAGCUUCUGAUGGGAAAGCAUGUAUGCAACCAGAACAAGAAGAGCAAGAAGAAAUGGGAGCUUUUUUGUUCUUUGGGACCCUGUUGAGCCCUGAUAUAGAUGUCCUCUUCAAGGAGAAGAAAGGGAUAGAAUGGCCUCUGGAAAUUUAAAGCAAGGGUUAGCAAACUCUAGCCUCUGGGACAAAUCUGUCCUGCUAUCUUUUUUUAAUAGGUGAAAAAAAAAAAAGAAUACUUUGAGACACAAAAUUAUAUGAAAUUCAAAUUUCAGUCCCCAUAAAUAAAGUAUUUUUGGAAUGCAGCCAUGCUCAGUCAUUUACAUAUUGUCUAUGGCUGUUUUUGCAUAUCAACAAAGUUGAUAGUUGCAAAAGAGAGCCCACAAAGCCUGAUGUAUAGAUAUAUCCUGAGUCUGGGAUCCUAAUAUAUAUAUAUGUGUAUUAUAUAUAUAUAUAUAUAUUUUUUUUUUUUUUUUGAGGUGGAGUUUCACUUUUGUUGCCUAGGCUGGAGUGCAAUGGCAUGAUCUCAGUUCACUGCAACCUCCGCCUCCCAGAUUCAAGAGAUUCUCUUGCCCCAGCCUUCAGAGUAGCUGGGACUAAAGGCACGCACCACCACUCCUAGCUAAUUUUAGUAUUUUUUAGUAGAGACGGGGUUUCACCAUGUUGGCCAGGUUGGUCUCGAACUCCUGGCCUCAGGUGAUCCACCUGCCUCGGCCUCCCAAAGUGCUGUGCUGGGAUUACAGGCAUGAGCCACCAUGCCUGCAGCCUUGACUUUCCAGGCUCAAGCAAGCCUCCCACCUCAGCUUUUGGAGUAGCUGGGACUACAGGCGCAUGCCAUCACACUGGGAUAAUUUUUGUAUUUUUUGUAGAAACGAGGUCUCACUAUGAUGCCCAUGCUGGUCUCAAACUCCUGAGCACAAGUGAAAUGCUCAUCUUGGCCUCCCAAAAGUGCUGGGAUUACAGGCAUAUGCUACCAUGCUUGGCCUAAAAUAUUUGUUAUCUGGAUCCUUACAAAAAAAGUUUGUCAACUCCUGAUCUAGAGCAACUGGGUCUCAAAAUCUUAGGAAGGAGGAGAAAAAAGAUAAAAGAGGGACGUGAAGGCUCACUACACACCAGACAUUCUGUAACCUUUUCAGGAAGAAGGGACACUGAGACAUUGAGACCCCAAUAUACCUACGUCCUGGUUUUUUUUGUUGUUGUUUUUUGUUUUUUUGAGAUGGAGUCUUGCUCUGUUGCCCAGGCUGGAGUGCAAUGGCGUGAUCUUGGCUCACUGCAAUCUCCACCUCCCAGGUUCAAGCAAUUCUUCUGCCUCAGCCUCCCAAGUAGCUGGGAUUACAGGCGCUUGCCACCACGCCCAGCUAAUUUUUGUAUUUUUAGUAGAGACGGGGUUUCACCAUGUUGGUCAGGCUGGUCUCAUACUCCUGACUUCUGGUGAUCCACCUGCCUCGGCCUCCCACAGUCCUGGGAUUGCAGGCAUGAGCCACUGUACCCAGCCAACAUACCUACUCCCUAAAUGUCAUCUGAGGCCUAUGGAGAGAGAUAAAAAUGAGUGUCAACAUCCAUUUUGUGCCAUCCUCAAAAUAUUUCUUGAAAUAGACAUUAUUAUCCCUGUUUUACACAUGAAGAAACAGGCUGCAUAGGUGGUGGUGCGUCUGUAAUCCCAGCUACUUGGGAGGCUGAGGCAGAAGAAUCGCUUGAACCCGGGAGGUGGAGGUUGCAGUGAGCUGAGAUUGUGCCACUACACUCCAGCCUGGGUGACAGAGUGAGACUCUGUUUCAAUAAAAAAGAAGAAAAAAAAAAAAAAGAGGGCUCACAGAGACCUUCAGUAACUGGCUGGAAGUUACACAGCUGCUAGGAGGUGGAGAUGAAUUUUCAAAGCUGAUCCAUCACAUUAUGGAGCCUAAAUUCCUUUCUGAAACCAGAAAACAAGCUCCCAAAGAGAGCAAGUGGCUAGCUUUUUUUUUUUUUUUUUAAGACAGUCUCCCUGUGUCACCCAAGCUGGAGUACAGUGGCACAAUCUCGGCCACUGCCUCCCAGAUACAAGUGAUUCUCCUGCCUCAGCCUCCUGAGUAGCUGGGAUUACAGGCAUGCACCACCAUGCCUGGUUAAUUUUUAUAAUUUUAGUAGAGAUGGGGUUGCUCCGUGUUGGCCAGGCUGGUCUUGAACUCCUGACCUGAAGCAAUUCAACCAUCUUGGUCUCCCAAAGUUCUGGGAUUACAGACCUGAGCCACUGCGCCUGGCCUAUCAAGUGGCAAGCUUUUCUUUUUUUUUUUCUUUCAAGAUAGAGUCUCACUCUGUCACCUGGGCUGGAGUGCAAUGGCGCUAUCUUGGCUCACUGCAACCUCUGCUUCCCAGGUUCAAGCAACUUUCCUGCCUCAGCCUUCUGAGUAGUUGAAAUUACAGGCACCCACCAUCGUGCCCAGCUAAUUUUUGUAUUUUUGUAGAGAAGGGGUUUUCACCAUGUUUCCCAGGCUGGUCUUGAACUCCUGACCUCAGGUGAUCUGCUCACCUUAGCCUCCCAAAGUGCGGGGAUUACAGGCAUGAGCCACCACGCCAGGCCAAGUGGCUAGCUUUGAAAGAAAUCUGGCAACACUGUUUUUACCCACCUUAUUCCUACCUCCCUGACCUCAGCCAAAGAAAGGAAGCAGCUUCCAAGAGAAAUAAGACAAGGGUCCCAAAGAAGUGAAAUGUAUCCUUUCGUCAGCUUAGGCCUCUGAACGAGGUGAUGGGGAACAGACGGUGUUUGCUGGUUGUGUUUGCUGCCAGCAAACACUGAACAUCAGGGAGGAACUGCUGGAGCAACCACACAGCCAGGCGCUGUGGCCUGGAGGCAAUGCUGGCUGGCCCUUUUGCAGCCUGAGCAGCUUUCUGAGUUUGGCUGUGGGAUCCUAAAUCUACCAAGGUGGCCGAUGUUGGAGAAGACCCAAGAGAACUGGAUAAGAAAGACUGAGGAGGAAGAGAGAGGGCAAAUGGCAUGUCGUACUGGGCUCUCCUCCAGAUCUCCUGGGCACGGGCAGGGGUGGGGGGAGCACAGGGUCACAAAAACUCUUUGAUGGUUCAAAAUUUAACCUAACAUUUCUUCUCCUGUAGAAAGUAAACCAUUAAUCCAACAGUGCCCUGCAAAGAAGGUAAAGCAAAGCUUCUCUUCACCUCAGAUAAAGAAGGUCCCGGGAGAUACAGUGCCUUCCCACCUGCUCCCUAGAUACCCCAUUCCAGGAUAGGAGCACCCGAGUCUCUGAUACCCUCCUGCUUCACCCAUCUGCCUGACUUGGCUGAACGCAGGUGUCCUGGAACUCUUUCUCUCACCUUCCUGUCCACUGCCAGAGAGUAGUAAAAUUCCAAAAAUGAAAGGCAAGUAAAAGAUACAGAGGAUCCAUUCAUUCAGCAAAGAUUACUUUAGCACCUUCUAGGUAUUAGGCACAGAGAAGAGGACCCAGAAAGGUCUUUGCACAAACACAAACACAAUGGCGAGACCUGGCUACUAUCCCUCAGUGGGGCAGAGGCCAGUAUGGGCAAAAGCCAUUUGUCCAUCAGCUUCCGGGUUGUCUCCUGAGAGACACUGUAUGCAGAGGCCAGUAUGGGCAAAAGCCAUUUGUCCAUCAGCUUCCGGGUUGUCUCCUGAGAGACACUGUACUUAGUUCUGGAAUUUCAGAGCAUCUGCAGAACUCUAAUGUAACCGCACCCCGCCCCACUAAGCCAGCUGCAGGCAUCUCAGACGCUCCCCCUAAAUCAUCCCCGUGUCGUUGAUGUACUAGUUUCAUAAGCUGGUCAGGAAUUUUGCUGAUCUGGGCUUCCAAGUAUGACCCCCUUUUUUUUUUAAUUGGCUAGUAAACUGAACUUAGGGACCCUGCCCUCUUCCCUCCUGCUGGACCUGUAGCUGUAUGCUUAGUCCAACAGGGGCUUGGGACCCAGAAUAGCCCUUCGUCUGUGGGGGACAGGGAAGAAAAGGGUCAAGACCAACCUCCUGCCAGUUCCCUGGCAUGUGUUCUGGGUGCUACGCCAGACGGGUGGGGCAAGAGAGGGUCUGAGGGUAAGGACUCAGGAAGGGAAGAGGGAAACUCACCAGACCUGGGAGAUAUCCCAAAGAUGGGGGACCUGCUUCUGUCCUCAGUUGGUGACUUUAGUGCGGGACAAAGUCCUGUUUCAGGUGGCCCCCUUAAAAACCCAGUCCAGCACCUUAGUUGGGGGCACCUCUCUCUUGGUCCUUUUAAGGGAGCUGCUCAUGGUCCAGAAGUUUGCAUAGGAGAAAGAGGGGACUCAGUCCAGUCCAGACCAGCUGCCUCUUCAACCACUAUAGCCCUUCCCUUCCCCGCCCCACUUCAAACACCCUAAACAGUGCUGUGCCCAGGCCCUUAACCCUUUCAGUGCCACCACUGAUCCCAGGGACUCCUGGGUCCCUCUGUCCUCAGCAUUUCCUGAACACAGAGUGACCACAUAGAAUUUAGACUUGUGUGGAAACAGGUAUAAGAAGCCAUGCUGGGGUCACCCUGAGGAGAGAGUAUGUAGGAACCUGACAGCCCAGGGAACAUUCACCCUCCCUCCAGGAGGGUCAGGGAUAAACUGGGGAGGGGAGAAAGCAGACAUCUCAGGGAAAGAAACAGAUGCCACUGGAAACCUACUUAACAGCAGGGUCCUCAGCGGGGCAGUGGGGGGGUUCUUCAUCCAGCUCCAAAACUGAUGGUCCACCAGGCUCCGUGGCUCAUGCCUAUACUCCCAGCACUUUGGGAGGCCGAGGAGGGAUAACGAGGUCAGGAGUCAGAGACUAGCCUGGCCAACAUGGUGAAACCCGUCUCAACUAAAAAUACAAAAAUUAGCCUGGCGUGGUGGUGCACACCUGUAAUCCCAGCUAAUGGGGAGGCUGAGGCAGGAGAAUCAAUUGAACGUGGGAUGCACAGUUUAUAGCAAGCCAGGGUCACACCACUGUACUCAAGCCUGGGCAACGGAGUGAGACUCCAUCUCAAAACAAACAAACAAAAAACCCUGAUUGUCGGUCCCUUUAAGAGGCAGGUUAUGGCAAUGGAGGAAAGAUUGUAUUUUUUUUUGUGAUGAAAGUACAGGGUGGAGCGUUACAAGGCAGCUGCACUGAGAAGGGCCCUAGCGUCAGCACCAGGAACCGAAGUGACCAAGCAACUCAGCAUACCCAGGGCUCAUGGCUUGUUGUGGAUACCAGCGGGAUAUUGACUGGCUCCUCCACUCUCUUCCCAGAUAACAGCUUCUGGGGCGGGGCAGGGGCUGACUCACCUUCUCCGCUUUCCCUGGGGCAGAGGACAGCUGGGGCGGAAGUCGGACUUCCUCAGGGAGGAGCCUCAGUUUGGUACCCAGCCUCCAGGAAGGAUGUGGGAUCACUGCUUACUUUCCUCUCCCCUCACAGAUACAGGGUUUCAUCGUGUUAACCAGGACGAUCUCGAUUUCCUGACCUUGUGAUCCACCUGCCUAGGCCUCCCAAAGUGCGGGGAUUACAGGUGUGAGCCACCAUGCCCUGCCAACUCAGCACAAAUUUUAAGCAGAACUUUGGCCAGGAAGGUCCCUCUCUGACCAAUCCUGAUACAGAAUGGCUCACUAAAGACCAAUCUUUCAAGCUGUGAAGCCAAAGGACUCACUUGAUCCAAACCAGACUGGAAGAGAAGCUUCUGUUCCAGUCAAUCUUGGAGAAUGGAGAUGCCCCCCUAGUCCUGCCCCUGAUAGUCAAGCCUCCGUCGAUACAGCCCUUGUUUGCAUGUCAGGCCCUCUCUUUCUCAUUCCUCCACCUCACAUUCUGCCCUUCAGCCUUAAUAAACUACUUGCCAUUCCUGAAUCACACCAUUCUUUUCUCAAUCUUGGCUGCUCUCUCUUGCCCUUCCUUACCUCUUGUUAGAUGUUCCUGCUGCAUGUUCCUCCAGCACCUGGCAUAUCACCUCUAUCACAGCAUUUUCCCCAUUUACCUAUUUUGAGUCCUCUAUGAGCCCAUAAGAUCUUGGAUUUUUUUUGUUUGUUUGUUUGUUUUGAGGUGGAGUUUUGCUCUUGUUGCCCAGGCUAGAGUGCAAUGGCACAAUCUCGGCUCACCGCAACCCACGCCUCCUGGGUUCAAGCAAUUCUCCUGCCUCAGCCUCUUGAGUAGCUGGGAUUUACAGGCAUGCGCCACCACACCUGGCUAAUUUUGUAUUUUUUUUUAGUAGAGACGGGGUUUCUCCAUGUUGGUCAGGCUGGUCUUGAACUCCUGACCUCAGGUGAUGCGCCCACCUCAGCCUCCCAAAGUGCUGGGAUUAUAGGCAUGAGCCACCACGCCCAACCUAAGAUCUUGUUAUUUUUUUUUUUUUAAUUUUUAAAUUUUAUUUUAAUGGAUGAGAGGUUUCUAUGUUGCCCAGGCUGGCCUCGAACACGUAGCCUUGCCUCCUCAUGUGCCAGGACAGCUGGCCUGAGCCACUGCAACUCCUAGAUCUUGUUAUUUUUAGAGACAGCUUCUUGCUUUAUCACCCUGGCUAGAGGGCAGUGGUGUGAUCAUGGCUCACCGCAGCCUCGAACUCUUGGACUUGAGUGGUACUCUUGCCUCUGUCUCCCGAAGUGUUGGGAUUACAGGCGUGAGCCAUGGUGCCCAGCCAGCCUGUAAGAUCCUUAAUGGAAGGGACUGUGUCUUAUUCAUCAUUGUUUCUCCAAAGCAGAGCAUAGAAUGAGCACAUAAUUUGGAACAUCAUACUUACUCACUGAAUGAAUUCCUGCAUUCAGUGCUUUAGGCAAAUCUUCAAAAAAUUCUUGCCUAGACUAGACCACAAUAAAGUUCACACUUAACCUACUCAAUGAUCUAGGACCCUCUGAAUCUAACCAGUUAUUUUUUAAACCCCAAAAUAGAUCCAGGAGUCUAAGAUGGGUCUGUACUCAAAGAUGGGACUCUACUCAAGUCAGUUUUAUGAUUUUGGCAACUGUGAUCUCAUCGCAAAAACCUCUGGACAUGGCUAAAUCAAUCUAUUUGAUACUAUCUAUAUCAGUCACCGAAAAACAGAGAGACAGGGCAAGAACCAACCAACAAAACAAGUCCAUGGAAGCCAGGAGGGUCCAGAACAAAAAGGGUAUUCUCACACCAAGGGACUGAUAAGAGAGAACACUACAAAGCUUACAAAAUGCGGGGAGAAUCGCCUAUCAAACUCCCGCUGAGCCAGGAUUCCUCCCUGUCCAGGUGCACUGGUGGAGCCAAUCUGAAAAGAAGAAAAGAAGGACAUUAAGGCAAGGCUCCUCAUCUAAUCUGAAAAAGGGCGGUCCCAACCAACCCAAUUCUAUGCAUUAGAUUCUUAGUUCUCAAAGGCUCAGGAGAACUUCAAGAAGAUGAGGGAAAGCUUUUGGCUAGAGAGAGCUGGAUGAUUCUCUCUUAGUGUGUUGUAAAGAGGAGUACACAGGAGCCAGAAGACCUAAGAAAUACCCCUUGGUGAACAUUUAGCAAACAGGGUAGGCCAGGUAUGCAACUGAAAUUAAAGCCGAAUUCUUGGGUCUGAGCCUCAGACUCUGGAAAGAGUGAAGUUGCUCACCACCACUGGCCCCUCUACAGGGCAGGGUGUGCAAUGGAAUGACUCACCCUUGCGACUCAUUUACUUAUUCCUCCAGCAAACAGACUCUACUUCACACAGUUCAUGUGAGGCUCAAAUGAAACAGCAGAAGUAUACAGUGAAGUAGAAAGCCCUACCCAAAUGUACAUUACUAGAGGAGAGGCUGAGUCUGGCCCACAUUCCUUUCCCUUGGAGAGGAGGCCAAGAGUUUGGAGCACACUGCAAACAACUUUAUUCUAAAGUGGCAGCUGGGCCUUUGAUUUUAUGUUUAUUAACCCAUCAACUACCAGGUAGAACCAGAGAGUCCUGAGGUUGGUUCUGAAAGCAAAAAUGAUACAGGAUGUGAAAACACAGCUAGAUUUAGAAUAGGGUUCCAUGUAGUUUAUGAAAAAAGAAAAUGUAGAAGGUGCAUUGAGUGUUAGUUCUUUCCAUUCUAUGGUUGACUGUGUUAAGUCCCUUCCCUACUAUGUACUAAUUAGCCUAUAGCCCUGCUUGUAUGGACAUCAUACAUUUUAGCUUCAUAAAUUUAUACACUUAUGACUUAAGUUUUUUGAGGGCCUGGACAGUAUCUUAAUACUCUUGGUAUUCCCCAGAGUCUGGCACAUUUCAGGGGCUUCCUAAAAGUCUGUUGACCUUUACCUCAAUCAGUCAAAACACUGUUAACUACUGAGUUUCUAUCAUAUAUGGGAAACAGAAAUCUAAGACAGUCACUGGUCUCAAGGAAUUUAAAUUAAAUUGGAAGGUGUUGGGUGGGAAGAGGGAAGAUCUAUACAUAAGAAACAAACUCCUGAAGAUAGUGAUUAAAUGUUCAAGACUGUAAGUGCUACAGAAGUUUAGAUGCAGUCAAUAAAUGUUGAUGAAAGAACGAAGAGCGGUCAGGCGAGGUGGCUCACAACCGUAAUGAGGAUAAUGAGAUCAAGAGUUCGAGACCAGCCUGGCCAACACGGUGAAACCCUGUCUCUACUAAAAAUAUAAAAAAUUAGCUGUUGUCCCAAUUACUCAGGAGGCUGAGGCAGGAGAAUCGUUUGAACCUGGGAGGCAGAGGUUGCAGUGAGCUGAGAUCGCACCACUGCCACUCCAGGCUGGGCAACAGAGUGAGACUCUGUCUCAAGAAAGAAUAGCAAAGAGCAAUCUGAAUUGAAAACAGAAAACAAGGAGACACUACUCAAAGCUGGGUCUUGAGAAGGCUUCACAUGUAAUGGAGUGGAGGGAAAAGAGUACUUCAAACAGAACAAAGGCACAGAGGAAAGAGUAAGGACUAAGUUGGGGGAGAAGGUGUGGGAAGGAGCUUGGCCUAAUUAGGAUGCAGGGUCUGUAUGGGCAGAGUGGGAGAGAAGGCUGGAGGCAGAGAAUAGCUAGACUAUUGGAGGGCUGCAGUGAGAGGCAGAAUGCCAUAAGCAGGAGCAAUCUAAGCAAGGAAAGGAGAGAGUAACAGUGGAGACUGGGAAGGAUCUGACAGUGGCAGAGAAGACACACAUUGGAAAGGCAAGGACAUCAGCAGGCAGCAAAUGACACAUUCCAGAUGAAAAGAGAGAAGGAAUGAAGAGGAGGGGAAGGCUAUGGUACAUGUCUCCCAUCCAUUUCAGUCACUCUAGUCCAGAACUUUAAUUUGAACAUACUUCCUUAGGACAAUACCAAGUGUCUGGUUAACAUUACCUCCCUCAGAAUUUAGUAGCUACUGUGGAAAUUUUCUGUAAGAGAUUUUGUUUUAGAAUCUAUACUUUUUACAUGGAUACCCAUCACCUUAAACACUUAUCUUUUUUUUUUUUUUUUUUUGGAGACAGGUCUCACUGUCACCCAGGCUGGAGUGCAAUGCCAAUAUAAUGGCUCACUGCAGCCUCAGUCUCCCGGGCUUAAGCAGUCCUCCCAUGUCAACCUCCUGAGUAGCUGGGAUCACAGGGGCAUACACCAUGCUCGGCUAAUUCUUUAAAAUGGGGGGUCUCACCAUAUUGCCCAAGCUGGUCUCCAACUACUGGGCUCAAGCAAUCCACCUGCCUCAAGCCUCCUAAAGUACUGGGAUUACAGGCUUGAGCUACCACACCCUGCUCUGUCUUUUUUUUGAGACGGAGUUUCACUCUUGUUACCCAGGCCGGAGUGCAAUGGCGCGAUCUCGGCUCACCACAACCUCCGCCCCCUGGGUUCAGGCAAUUCUCCUGCCUCAGCCUCCUGAGUAGCUGGGAUUACAGGCACACGCCACCGUGCCCAGCUAAUUAUUUGUAAUUUUUAGUAGAGACGGGGUUUCACCAUGUUGACCAGGAUGGUCUCGAUCUGCCAACCUCGUGAUCCACCCACCUCGGCCUCCCAAAGUGCUGGGAUUACAGGCUUGAGCCACUGCACCCGGCCCACCCUGCCCUGUCUUUACUUUAUGAUGGAAAUGUUCAAAUGCUUCUCAUCUGGCUAUUUUGAAAUAUACAUUAGAUUACUGUUAACUAUAGUCACCCUACUGAACUAUCGAACACUAGGUCUUAUUCCUUCUAGCUGUAUUUUUUUUUUUUGAGAAGAAAUCUCACUCUAUCCCCUAGGCUGGAGUGCAGUGGUGCGAUUUCAGCUCACUGCAACCUCUGCUUCCUGGGUUCAAGUGAUUCUCCUGACUCAGCCUCCCAAGUAGCGGGGAUUACAAGCGCCUGCCACCAUGUCCAGCUAAUUUUUGUAUUUAUAGUAGAGAUGGAGUUUCUCCACGUUGGCCAGGUUGGUCUCGAACUCCUGACCUUAGGUGAUCUGCCUGCCUUGGCCUCCCAAGGUGCUGGAUUACAGGCAUGAGCCACUGCGCCCAGCCCUAACUGUAUUUUUCUAUCUAUUAACCAACCUUUCUUCAUUCCCCUCCCAUCCCCACCACAAGAGAUUUUUUUUUUUUUUUUUUGAGACGGAGUUUUGCUCUUGUUACCCAGGCUGGAGUGCAAUGGCGCGAUCUCGGCUCACCGCAACCUCCGCCUCCUGGGCUCAGGCAAUUCUCUUGCCUCAGCCUCCCGAGUAGCUGGGAUUACAGGCACGUGCCCAGCUAAUUUUUUGUAUUUUAAGUAGA
This is a non-coding RNA of Callithrix jacchus (white-tufted-ear marmoset), 21136 nucleotides long. The record is from RefSeq and is a predicted model, not a curated record. NCBI's taxonomy places the organism in Eukaryota, Metazoa, Chordata, Mammalia, Primates, Cebidae.